RNAcentral lists this ribosomal RNA (465 nucleotides) under uncultured bacterium. RNAcentral's name for it is "bacterial SSU rRNA". It matches the Rfam family "Bacterial small subunit ribosomal RNA", at positions 338 to 795 of the family's 1533-position model. The record is from RNAcentral.
CCUACGGGCUGCAGCAGUGGGGAAUAUUGCACAAUGGGCGCAAGCCUGAUGCAGCCAUGCCGCGUGUAUGAAGAAGGCCUUCGGGUUGUAAAGUACUUUCAGCGAGGAGGAGGGCAUCAAGGUUAAUAACCUUGAUGAUUGACGUUACUCGCAGAAGAAGCACCGGCUAACUCCGUGCCAGCAGCCGCGGUAAUACGGAGGGUGCAAGCGUUAAUCGGAAUUACUGGGCGUAAAGCGCACGCAGGCGGUCUGCCAAGUCGGAUGUGAAAUCCCCGGGCUCAACCUGGGAACUGCAUUCGAAACUGGCAGGCUAGAGUCUUGUAGAGGGGGGUAGAAUUCCAGGUGUAGCGGUGAAAUGCGUAGAGAUCUGGAGGAAUACCGGUGGCGAAGGCGGCCCCCUGGACAAAGACUGACGCUCAGGUGCGAAAGCGUGGGGAGCAAACAGGAUUAGAUACCCCUGCAGUC